UAAUACGGAGGGUGCGAGCGUUGUCCGGAAUCACUGGGCGUAAAGGGCGCGUAGGUGGCUUCUCAAGCGCGCGGUGAAAGCCCGGGGCUCAACCCCGGGUCGGCCGUGCGGACUGGGAGGCUCGAGCACUGUAGGGGCGGGUGGAAUUCCGGGUGUAGCGGUGGAAUGCGUAGAGAUCCGGAAGAACACCGGUGGCGAAGGCGGCCCGCUGGGCAGGAAGACGGGGCAACCCGUCGGCUGACACUGAGGCGCGACAGCGUGGGGAGCAAACAGGAUUAGAUACCCUGGUAGUCCACGCCGUAAACGAUGGGCACUAGGUGCCUGGGGGAGCGACCCCCCGGGUGCCGGCGCUAACGCAUUAAGUGCCCCGCCUGGGGAGUACGGCCGCAAGGCUG
Molecule: ribosomal RNA, 395 nt
Filed under: uncultured bacterium
Lineage: Bacteria
Description: bacterial SSU rRNA
Rfam family: Bacterial small subunit ribosomal RNA
Source: RNAcentral